Molecule: ribosomal RNA, 384 nt
Filed under: uncultured eukaryote
Lineage: Eukaryota
Description: SSU rRNA
Rfam family: Eukaryotic small subunit ribosomal RNA
Source: RNAcentral
AGCUAAUACAUGCCAAAACCGCAAGGUUGUAUUUAUUAGAUAUUCCAAGUAGGUGAAUCAUAAUAACUUCGCAAAUCGCAAUUAUGUUGCGAUAAAUCAUUCAAGUUUCUGCCCUAUCAUGCUUUCGAUGGUAGUGUAUUGGACUACCAUGGCUCUCACGGGUAACGGGGAAUUAGGGUUCGAUUCCGGAGAAGGAGCCUGAGAAACGGCUACUACAUCUAAGGAAGGCAGCAGGCGCGUAAAUUACCCAAUCCUGACUCAGGGAGGUAGUGACAAGAUAUAACAACGCGACUAAUAUCGCGAUUGUAGUGAGGGUUUUCUAAACCGAACUUCUAGUACGAUUGGAGGGCAAGUCUGGUGCCAGCAGCCGCGGUAAUUCCAGCU